CGCGUAGGAAACUGCCCAGUAGUGGGGGAUAACAUGGUGAAAACCAUGCUAAUACCGCAUACGCCCUAAGGGGGAAAGCGGGGGAUCUUCGGACCUCGUGCUAUUGGAUGUGCCUGCGUAAGAUUAGCUAGUUGGUGGGGUAAAGGCCUACCAAGGCGACGAUCUUUAGCUGGUCUGAGAGGAUGAUCAGCCACACUGGAACUGAGACACGGUCCAGACUCCUACGGGAGGCAGCAGUGGGGAAUAUUGGACAAUGGGCGCAAGCCUGAUCCAGCCAUACCGCGUGUGUGAAGAAGGCCU
Molecule: ribosomal RNA, 300 nt
Filed under: uncultured Alteromonadaceae bacterium
Lineage: Bacteria; Pseudomonadati; Pseudomonadota; Gammaproteobacteria; Alteromonadales; Alteromonadaceae
Description: bacterial SSU rRNA
Rfam family: Bacterial small subunit ribosomal RNA
Source: RNAcentral